UGGGGAAUAUUGGACAAUGGGCGAAAGCCUGAUCCAGCCAUGCCGCGUGUGUGAAGAAGGUCUUCGGAUUGUAAAGCACUUUAAGUUGGGAGGAAGGGCAGUAAGCGAAUACCUUGCUGUUUUGACGUUACCGACAGAAUAAGCACCGGCUAACUCUGUGCCAGCAGCCGCGGUAAUACAGAGGGUGCAAGCGUUAAUCGGAAUUACUGGGCGUAAAGCGCGCGUAGGUGGUUCGUUAAGUUGAAUGUGAAAGCCCCGGGCUCAACCUGGGAACUGCAUCCAAAACUGGCGAGCUAGAGUGUGGGAGAGGAUGGUAGAAUUCCAGGUGUAGCGGUGAAAUGCGUAGAGAUCUGGAGGAAUACCGAUGGCGAAGGCAGCCAUCUGGCCUAACACUGACGCUGAGGUACGAAAGCAUGGGGAGCAAACAGG
Molecule: ribosomal RNA, 429 nt
Filed under: Pseudomonadota bacterium
Lineage: Bacteria; Pseudomonadati; Pseudomonadota
Description: Proteobacteria bacterium partial 16S ribosomal RNA
Rfam family: Bacterial small subunit ribosomal RNA
Source: RNAcentral